Molecule: ribosomal RNA, 372 nt
Filed under: uncultured organism
Description: partial 16S ribosomal RNA
Rfam family: Bacterial small subunit ribosomal RNA
Source: RNAcentral
GUAGGUGGCAAGCGUUGUCCGGAAUUAUUGGGCGUAAAGCGCGCGCAGGUGGUUCUUUAAGUCUGAUGUGAAAGCCCCCGGGCUCAACCGGGGAGGGUCAUUGGAAACUGGGGAACUUGAGUGCAGGAGAGGAAAGUGGAAUUCCACGUGUAGCGGUGAAAUGCGUAGAUAUGUGGAGGAACACCAGUGGCGAAGGCGACUUUCUGGCCUGUAACUGACACUGAGGCGCGAAAGCGUGGGGAGCAAACAGGAUUAGAUACCCUGGUAGUCCACGCCGUAGACGAUGAGUGCUAAGUGUUGGGGGGUUUCCGCCCCUCAGUGCUGCAGCUAACGCAUUAAGCACUCCGCCUGGGGAGUACGGUCGCAAGACUG